CCACCCGCUUCGCGGGGUCACCUGUCUAAGCCUCAAGCCAGUCGGGCUCAGGGCCAUUUUCCCACGGAGUAAGAACCAGAACGCCAGCUGCCCCAGCGGCGCUCGCACCAUCCACCCUUGAAAUUGCCGUAGAAGAGACAGAAACUGAAAACCAUGGUUUCAGGCUGCUAAAAACCUAACAUGAAACAAAACAGAAGAACAACAACAACAAAAUAAGGAAGAGUGACCUAUGGGAUCCAUGGAGGAGCUGCUUCCUGAAUCUGUGUAAAGUAGAUCUUGCCGUGUGGGUAACUGUGACUGCGGUGGCCAUGAAGAGGCACAACUCAGACCUCGGAUCUCCUGCUGCAGAGAACAUUGACUGACAGCCCAGCAGCUCCUGUCUGGAUCUACCACCUGUUCACAAUUCUGAAAUACAUUCAACGCACACUUUCCUACUGAGAUUUCUAAAAUGGGACUUGGAAAACAGAAAAAUACUAAAGUGGGGUACUAUCAUCUAAAUCUCCAAAAAGGUCAUUCAACUCUGAUCCCUGUUUAAAGAGAGAAAAAAGGAAUAAAGGAGCCUUUGAAGGCAGAAUAUUGCUCACUCAUCUCUUUGAAAGGACCUCAGACUGCAGAGCAGAAGAACCACUGGCUACAUCAGCUGGGGCAGAGGGGGAUGAAGAGAACAUCAUGAUGCCUGCAAAAAAGUGGGCUCUGCAGGAUCUCCAGUCACCUCCCUUCCCUUCAGAUCCAGAGCUCUCUCUGGCUAGGACCUUCCAGAGUUCCAGAAUUUUUGUUCCACCUUCCAUUGCUCACUUCUAUUACUAUUACUAAGAUAUUCACAUGGAAUUCUGUGCAAACCAUUUUUUUUUUCUUUUGGUGCCCUCUUUGUUUUACUUCCUCUAUUGGGACUAAUGGCCAUCUGACUUGGGGGUCCUUUGUUUUUUGUGACAAACCACCCUCAGCAGAUUUCCUUGAGGUCCAUUUGCUCAAGGGCCUUAAAGCUUUUUGGAGUAAUACAGAGUAAGUUUCUAGACAGCCUCUUGUGCUCUGCAGUAAGCUAAAGUGGAAGAUUAAGAUGCCUGGUGUAUACUGUGUGUUUCCCAUGUAAUGGCAGAAAAGGAAUGGGGCUCAUUAGUUACUUUAAGGUGGCAGCAGCUACCUUAGAGAAGACUGCAUUGCUUGUACUGAUUCAAAAGAGCACCUAAUGAAGGGAAAAAGCAGAAAUAAGCCAAGACUUGAGCUGAGUGAUUCGUUGAAUCAGCCAAGGAUAAUGUUCUUCAGGCACUAUGCACAUGUCACUGAUCAGUAGCGCUUCUCUUAAGCUUCAACAGCACUCACUUCCCCUGUCUUGAUGAGGUGAGCAGCACAUUUAAUUUCAGCUCCUGGGGCCAUCUGCAAACCUCUACUCCAUUCCUCAGCUGUGUUUGCUCCUCUGUUCUCAGGGAGCAGCAUUUUCACUGGAUGCAAACUGUGAGGCACUGUCUGGGCAAGCAGAUUGGUUACUAAUGAGGAAACUGGCACUGACAGCCUUUUGGGUUCUGAUUGAAGAAAAGAGAUGUCUUCGCAUCAGAAUGGUUUAACUUUCAAUGUGGCAUAUCAACUGGUUGAAAUUAGGGAGAGAGAGAAAGAGAAAUUUAAUUGUCAGGCUGUGGUGCGUAGUGUCAAAGCUACCUAGAUUAUGAGAAAUACGUCUUUUCAACAGCUUAAAGGCCACAGCUCUCAACAUUUUUUCUGCAUGUACAACACAGACAGGAUCCAGAAAUCCCAGCCUAUAACUCUUGGUUCCGUCAAAUACUCAACAGAGAAAACAGAAGUAUUUGAUUGUGGUAUUAACUAUGAAAUGUUCCCUAUUAGCCAUAUGAUUCUAUUAGCUCAGCUCAUUCCUGUUAGAUUUAUAGAAACAUUAGAGAUAAUUGGAAUUAGAAGGGCCAAGAGAGACGAUCCAAUCCCAUAUAGAGAAAAGCAAGACCCCUGCUCUCACUGAAGAAGUUUUAAAAAUAAUUAAACAACAAACAAACAAAUUGAGGCCCAGAGAGAUGAAGUAAUUUGACUGAUGUAUUCCAUCAGUGACAGACCUGGGACUGGAGCUCCAUCUCAGCUCUCAGCCCACUAAGAACCCUGUUCAUGGUGCCAUACUAGCAACCCCCUUCCUGUAGGAGUCUUUGAGAGUCAGAAUGACUUCUUGACUGAGAGGUACAUGUCUCUAGGAUAAGGACAAUUGAGGGGAUAAUGAGGAAAGAAAUAAUGUAAGUUAACUAUAUUUUGCCACAUGCCCUCCUCUCUCCAUGAAUCCAGGAUGUUGACCCAUAUCCAGCAUCCAUUGUGGGACUAAGUCUCGGACACCAAGGACUUCUAAGGAGCCUGCUCCAAUCUGAAAUGACUGUGGGGGAGCUGGCCAUUCCCCGAGCCAUUCUUGGAAUAUUGGGCCACAGGGGCCACUGGGGAGCAUGUAUAGGUAGGGGCGGCUUUGAUAUAAGCCUAGGUAUUCAAUUCUUCAUGGGACCCCCAAUGCUACCCCAAGUCUGCACCUUGAUUCCCAAAUACCCAAGAGAGACAAAAUGUCCUACUUUCUCUCUGAAGUUCUUCUAAUGUUGGAAGACCUAGGGUGGAGGCAAACCUUUCAGAGAAUUUCUGCUGGGAUUUAAAUGUAUGUCUAGCUGGCUUUAGACAUUAGAAGACUGUAAUAUGUACCUUAAUAAGUUGCCUUUCCCAUGGUGUUUGUUAUCCUCAGAAGACCCCCAUAGUGACUCUAGGAGACAAUUCUCAUAUCUUCUGAACUGUGCAUGUUCAUAGUUUUUCUGAGCAGGGUUUGCAUCUAGCAGCGAUGGAGGUAUAGGAGGUCACAGGCAACACUGCGUGCCUCACACAACAUUGUAGAUCAAGACACAGUUAAAUGGGCUGGCAAUUCUGAGUUUCUGAGUCCAGUCCCAUGACUAGUAUAGCUGUCAGAACUAGAGGGGCCAACCCUGGGAAUCUUGGAGAUGCUUUAUGAAUAUAUGAGAUUUCAGGCAUCCAAGCUCUUCUAUUUGUUUACAUGUAUUCUCAAUGUCUAUCUCCCAUUAUCAAAUCUAUUCCAAAAGUAUUUUUUCAACACUUGCUGGAGACUCUUGGAUAAAGCUAGUAAACGUGCUUUUAUUAAGCUCCAACUCUGUGCUGACCACUUAUACAUAUAUUGUCUCAGUUGCACUCAAAAUGCUAUUGUGUGUUAGGGUUCUUUCUUACAGAUUUUGAAACAGUGUCUUGGAGAGGUUAGGUGAAUUGCUCAAAAGACGCAGCAAGCACAGAGCUGUGACUUGGUCCUGUCUUAUCUGCUUUGGGGUUAUGGGUAGUUUAUCUUUAUAUGCCUAUUUUAACAGUAGACCCUCAACCACUGAAAUUGACAGGAAAAAGUAUGUGGUUGUUUUACCAAACAAACAAACAGACAAAAAACCAAACCCACCAAACCUGAAAUUUUUGGUUUGGUCAACAUUUUAAUUCAACUGUACUCAAUGUAUUAACAAUGGUGAUUUGAUAUGAUGGAUGUAAUUGAUAAUCAAUGCAGUGCCAUUUAUAGACUGCCUAAAAGUGCAUUGUACAUCAUUUUGACAACAUAUUUACCUGCAUUGUUUGGGCAAAAUGAAUUUUAAAAUUAUUUUUUGUUUCCUAAAUUUGUAUCAAUUGAAAAAAAAAAAGUCAUCUGGGUAGCAGACAGAAGUCAGCCUGGGACUACAGUGGGUCAUAACCCUGAGGAUUCAAAUGUGGGCAAUGGCAACAACAUCAGCGACUAAAGCUGUCAGUGGAGAAAAGAAGAAAGCACACGCCAGCCACCCUGCAGAACAAUGCAGUUCUUUCAGAGUCACAUAGUCCUAAAUCUGGAAACCAUCACAGCUGAGAGGAUAAGCUUUGGAACCCGAUAGUGGUCUAAAACUAGGCUCUGCCUGCCAUGGACAAACUACAAGAGACUGGGAAGUGAGUUAAACCUGAGCUAAAUCCCAGUUUCCUUCUCUGCAAAACAGGGAGUGGGGACAGUGGAAUAACACCUCCCUCAUAGAACUGUUGGGAGGCAUAAAUGACCCUCAGCACAGGGUGGUGUGUAUGGAAUGUGCAUCAUAAGUGGCAGCUAUUUUGAUAAUUACUAAACAUGAUGAAUGAUGAUAAGCGAAAUAAUAACACAGCUUUUCAACAUUUUCACUCAAUAAGUUAAAUUUAUAAUAGGCAAGCAAAGGAGUUUCCAGAAUUAAGCAUCUGAUGGGAGCUUAGACAGGUUGACUUUUACAGCUCAUUCUAACCCUGAGUGAGGGUCUGUGAUUUUAUAAGCCCUUUUAGGGUUCGAGUGCUACUUCUAAUCAAGAUCCUGGUAUCAUGUUUUUCUCCAUUACGUGGAACAAUAAUGAAUAGAUAAAUAAAAUAUAACUGGGAAAGGAGAACACAGAUUGAACACAUGCAUUUAUCUCCACUCUUGUCCAAAACCUCACAGUAAAAUAAUUUAAAAUACAUGAACCUAUAAGAACAAGAGAGGGGAGAUAUGAUGAAAGAGAAAACCAAAAUUUUGGAAGUUGGAAAAAAAUGGAAGGCUGGUUAGCCAAUUAGGGACAGUAGAAAGCUGCAUAUCUGUAAGGCACAUGCUGCCAAGAGAGAAAAGCAAGGCAAUUUGGAUGUGGAACCUCAGACAGGCUUAGAAUAGGAAACAGAUCCAUGAGUCAUGACACUGUGGUUGAGAUUUCUGCUUUAGCCAUUCCAGCGUAUGCUUGUUUUUCCCUAAAAGUCUUUACUCAUUUGUUUUCUCUCUUCCGCCCAGUGAACAUCUACUCAUUCUUCAAAACCCAGAACUGUUGUUGUUUCUUGAAAAAUGGAGAUUAUUCCAAAGUUCUUUUAGCCUUUGCAAUGUGAAGGCAUGUGUCAGGGUUGGGAGGAGUUGGGGAACAGCACCUCUUUCUUUUAACGUCCAAUUGAUUGAGGCCAAUGGGUCAUCCUGCCUCCUUCCCUAAAUAUUCCUGAGAAUGCUCAGAGAGGGCCCACAUGUUCCCUAAGUCCAUUCUGGUUACCCUGUGUGCCUUCUUGCUCUGGUCUGCUGCUCCCAGCUUCUUCACGAUCACUUGUGAUCAUUUGCUAGCCUUUUUUUAGUCCAUUUUACUCCAAAGCAAGAAUACAGUACUUGCUCCUUACUCUCCAAUGCUUACCAAUGCAACAACAAGAGGUAAUAGUAUUUAACAAAUUUUGAUACGGAGGAAAGGAAAACCUAAAAUAAGGUACCAUGUAUCACUAUUCCUGAAUUCUGUCAUCAUGUCCCUUUAAAGGCAGUGCUCUAUAGGUUCCGUCUCUCCUGUGGCCCCAGCCUGCUGCCACUGGAACAAGGGUCCAGGGUUCUUAAUGCACGGAAGUCUUCAUCUUAUCCCCCACAAAUCUACAGCCAAAAGAAGGAAAUACCCAUUGAUGACACGAUAGACAAUAUAACAGUUGACAAGAUAAUUGAUACAGCGUGCCCAAUGUGAAGAGAGAAUUUGUCACGGCUAGAGUAGUGAACCUUCUCCAGGUGAACCAUCUGCCGUUGGAAGCUUCCUUUUGUCCAGGGCUCCUGCAAGGCCAGUGAGUAGGUACUUCUAUCUACACAUGACUGAAAAAGACUUACCAAAACCAAUAUAUUCCCAAGGAUACUUUCUAAAUUCUACCCAAGGAGCAGAUGCUGCUCACAAUUCUCUAAAACAAGGUCUUUUUUUUUUCAACCCCAGAUAUAUCAAGAAUGGGACACAAUCUCCGAGGAAGAAAUUGUCAGCAUCUAUCUUGAAAAUAUCUUUGGUUUCCCAUUACAUUUCGGAUUUCUCUAGACCAUAUUUGUAGUUCCCUUUUUGGUGUUCCCAUUCUUGUAAGUUUAUAUAAACAGCAAUAAGACUAUAGCUCUUCUCACAGGAUACUUUGUUAUUUCUUAAUGGGACUGUCUGUCCUGUAGGCUAUGAGCUAUUUGAGGGCAAAGAAUAUUCUAUUCAUCUUUAUAUUCCUGGCACAUGGUAGGCACUCAGUAAUGCUGCUGCUGAAUUGAAUCGGCUGUGGGAAAAAAACAAAUGCUUCUCCUCAGUCAGCAUUUGUUUUCUAGGAUCUAUUCCAAUAUAUUUCCAACAAAAAUAUGAGAUUUAAAAGAUAGGCAGAGAGUGAAUUGAACUGAAUAUUGCACAAAAACUCCUUGUCUUUAAAGGUGGAAACAAAAUCCACCACCUUCCCAAGAUAGCUGUUCUGUCUCACAUCUUCUUGAAGCAAUGAAAUGAUGAGUACUGUGAUCAGAGAGGACCCUCAGAAAAUAAAUAAAAACCCAGCUCUACAAAUGCAGCCGUAAGCCAGGAGGAUAUGACGAAGGAUAUCAUUAUCAUCCUGAUAUUUUUAGAAGUUCUUUGGUGACAGGUCAGAUUUUUGAGAAUCAGAAAAUGAUAAAAAUAAUCUUGUUAUUCCACAAAGGAGGCUCUAUAUAUAUCAGGCCGAUUUUGAACACUGCCUGAGAAUGUUGAGAAAAUAUUUUUAAAUGUUAGUGAAAUGAUAGGCUUUGGGGGCAGACCCAGCCUCGCUUUAGAAAAAGCUUUAUCGUGGGGGGAUUGAGAGAUUUUAGUGAUGUGAGCAUUGUAAAGAAUCAGCAGUGAGUGGGUGUAAGUUUUUGUUUUCCAAUUUUCCAGAGGAGGGUCCACCUGGGAAGAAUUUCAUGAAAUUUACAGAAAUCUGAAAAUUGCUUUUGAAGCUAUUACAGGUACCUGGGGAGUCCUCCUUGGCCCCACAGGCUGACUACACUAUCCAGAUCUUAAGGGACUCUCAUCUUUCCUAACUUCUAGGUUGCAGGAUUCUGCAGAAUUACUUCUGCAGCUUCCAUUUGUAGCUAUUGCUAAGUGGACCCAUAGCUAUAUGGGAUGUGGGGCUCUGGAUUUCAGGUAGAAAUGACCCUUUGUUUAUUUGAGAUGUUUGCUUCUUUAAAUACUCAGCCAUCUGACUCUCUAAUUGUUUAGGAUUAGUCAUAAGUUAAGUAGGACAGGGAAGAUGUUAUAAAUAGUUUAUUGCAUAUCCAUUCAAGAAAUUUAGGCUAAGUUUAUAUAUUUUACCUUCUGAAAGGAGAAAGCCUGUGUGUUUAUUUAAAGCAUUGUAGAUUUUUUCUCAUUUAGAAUAUAUGAGUCUAGUAUAAAAAUUGAUUCUAGAUGAUUUAUAUGUAAGUUGCUCUUUUCUUCAUACUUAUUUUGCUACCUUUUUAUUUCAUGUUUUUUCUUAAGUAUGACUUUGAGCCUUUAAAAGUAUUUCCUUUAUGUCUCUUUUGAAUAUCAAAAACAACAUGAAUUAAAAAUAGAAGUCUACAUAUCAA
RNAcentral lists this long non-coding RNA (7291 nucleotides) under Homo sapiens (human). Its description in RNAcentral is "HSALNT0347499". The record is from RNAcentral. Lineage: Eukaryota; Metazoa; Chordata; Mammalia; Primates; Hominidae.